Molecule: ribosomal RNA, 596 nt
Filed under: Wolbachia endosymbiont of Bemisia tabaci
Lineage: Bacteria; Pseudomonadati; Pseudomonadota; Alphaproteobacteria; Rickettsiales; Anaplasmataceae
Description: partial 23S ribosomal RNA
Rfam family: Bacterial small subunit ribosomal RNA
Source: RNAcentral
AUUAGAUGAGCCUAUAUUAGAUUAGCUAGUUGGUGGAGUAAUAGCCUACCAAGGCAAUGAUCUAUAGCUGAUCUGAGAGGAUGAUCAGCCACACUGGAACUGAGAUACGGUCCAGACUCCUACGGGAGGCAGCAGUGGGGAAUAUUGGACAAUGGGCGAAAGCCUGAUCCAGCCAUGCCGCAUGAGUGAAGAAGGCCUUUGGGUUGUAAAGCUCUUUUAGUGAGGAAGAUAAUGACGGUAAUCACAGAAGACGUCCUGGGUAACUCCGUGCCAGCAGCCGCGGUAAUACGGAGAGGGUUAGCGUUAUUCGGAAUUAUUGGGCGUAAAGGGCGCGUAGGCUUAUUAAUAAGUUAAAAGUGAAAUCCCGAGGCUUAACCUUGGAAUUGCUUUUAAAACUAUUAAUCUAGAGAUUGAAAGAGGAUAGAGGAAUUCCUGAUGUAGAGGUAAAAUUCGUAAAUAUUAGGAGGAACACCAGUGGCGAAGGCGUCUAUCUGGUUCAAAUCUGACGCUGAAGCGCGAAGGCGUGGGGAGCAAACAGGAUUAGAUACCCUGGUAGUCCACGCUGUAAACGAUGAAUGUUAAAUAUGGGAAGUUUA